Molecule: long non-coding RNA, 506 nt
Organism: Helianthus annuus (common sunflower)
Lineage: Eukaryota; Viridiplantae; Streptophyta; Magnoliopsida; Asterales; Asteraceae
Exons: 2
Source: RefSeq, a predicted model, not a curated record
UCGAAGCCACCAUCAAAGAUCUGCCACCAUCAAAGCUCUCAAAGAUCGAAGAUCAAAGCCACCAUCCCUUCCAACCUUGAAAUCUGAAGAUCGAAGCCACCAUUGAAGAUCGAAGCCACCAUCAAAGCUCUCAAAGAAAAGGAAGCUCGGUGUCAUUUCACAUCUUUGUUUCUGUUUUUUAGAGAGAGAAAGCUAAUGUUUUGGAAGGAGAGAUAACAAUUUUCCUGUUGUUCACCUAGACACCAAGAACACACGCACAAGUGUGUGAGAGAGAAACAGGUGGAAAGAUGUUUUGUGUUCAAGAUGAAGAUGGUUAUCAAGAAGCGAAACCCGCGGAAGGAUUACAACGCAUCAUCAGGUUUUCGUGGUGACGAUGGUGUUGUUGUGAAGGCAAUUUUUAGAAGACCAUUUUUAGAAGCAUUACAACUAUUGAUAUAAAAUUUAUUUUUAUUUUCAUUGUUAGUAUGCCAAUAUUUGGAUGAAUACGGAUGUUGUUGUGAAGGCAA